UCUCUCAGGUAGGUGACGUAUCCUGCUUGACCUACGCUGGUCUUGUUCUACUUGAGCAGGUUGCUCUUCCACAACCAUUUGUGUUUCCUGCUCUAAUUCCUCCAUAGGUGUAUCGAUGCUUUGUGAUUCUUGAAUUUCUUCAAGCUCUACUUUCCUCCCACUGGUUCCUUUGGAAAUAAAAUCCUUUUCUAGGAAAACUCCAGUUCGAGCGACAA
This 215-nucleotide long non-coding RNA is filed under the name Lathyrus oleraceus (garden pea). RNAcentral describes it as "Pisum sativum (pea) long non-coding RNA (PSAT_LNC029137)". Lineage: Eukaryota; Viridiplantae; Streptophyta; Magnoliopsida; Fabales; Fabaceae. The record is from RNAcentral.